UAUAACUUUCAGAAGCUGACUCCCUGCCU
RNAcentral lists this non-coding RNA (29 nucleotides) under Rattus norvegicus (Norway rat). Lineage: Eukaryota; Metazoa; Chordata; Mammalia; Rodentia; Muridae. The record is from RNAcentral.